UCAUUCAGUGACUAUCACUACUGAAAUGUGUGAUUAAUCCUUAUAAUGAUGGUGCUGAUGCCCCACCCGGAGCUUCUUUACCAGUCUAGUGCACCCAUCCCCCAGCUGCUGGCUCCAUCUUACCCAGAACCAAGAUCAGCUCUAUUUAUCUUCUAUUUAGCAGUUGUGAGUGUUGGCUGCUAACAGCUCACAGCUGCACUCUUCUCUAGAGAAUUGUUCUCAGCUGACGGGAGCCACCUCAUCCAGCGAUGCCUAAGAGGUUAUGUACCCGCCAACACAGCCAAUGACUGAUUGGUAUGAAAGAGCAAAAGACCAACUCCUUUGCCUCAAGGGAGACAACUCUGUGGUGCCAUCUUUGCUCUAGAGCUCUCGGUGGAAUCAAGCUGAUGGGAGCCUUCUGCUGACACCACCUCUUUGCUUAGCUGCUUCUCCUGCCUUUCCCGUUUGCUUCACUUCCUUCCUUUGAGGUUCCUCCUGAGAACACUCCCUCAGUAAGAAUCCCUGCCUCGUUCUCUGCUUCUGGGUCACUCUACCUAAGAGUAAUUUUUGCUAAAGAAAUUGAGAGUAAGGAGAUAGCAUGUCAGCUUUGAAGUCUGGAAGAAGGCUCUAUGGAAAUUAUUUAAUGAUCUUGGCCUUGAGGAGAAGCUGAGAUUUGAUGGACAGUGGAAAAGAAGAAAGGCCUCCCAGGUCGUGAUAAUAAGAUGGCAUGAAGAUGGCAGCCAAAGGACCGCGUCUUCCAAGGACUCUAUUAUACUACUCAUGCUCAACUAUCACCUAUUUCGGAAGAAAGUGGGCUAAAAAAUAUCUAAUUCAUACUAAAGAGUUUUUGACCUGAUGGGUUAACCCUUCUAGGUCAUCAGCAUUUUAAAAGAGAAUCUUGGAUUGCCUUAUGAUUAAUCAAGAGAAAAGCUCUCUAGUGAUUGAAUUUCCAGCACUUCUCCUGAGUAGGGAAGAAAUUUUUGAUUAUGGAGGCUACCCACUCAAAUCAUACCAUGAAGAUAACUUCCCACUCCAUCUAUGGGUGAUAAGGACUCUAAUUAAUAGACAGGCAUGCACAGUCUAGACAUAAUCAUGCUCUAAUGUCAACAUUCUAAAUAAGAGCCUAGAAGAAUUUGUCUGAAUUACCCCUAGGCGAGUGUCAGGGUUGAAUAAUAGGGAGAAGCACUGGAGGGGUUCCUGGUUGAAGCAGCCCUGGGUACAAAGAAAUGGAGGAGCAAACAAGUGAGAAAAGCCAAGACCCAAAAUAGCAAUAUUAAGUCCAAAGGGCCAGAUGCAUGGUUGCCAAUCAUCUUCCAAGCUUUUGGAGUUAGGGGAGAUGGGGCUCAAAAUGGGAACUGUUCAGGAACAACUGUUAAGUCCAAAGGGGUUAUGGUGACCAGUUCAUGCAUAACAUCCAUAGCUCAUGUUUUUUAUUCAAUGGCUGCUGGUUGUGACUGCCUGCUAGAUUCAUUUAGAAUCUUAAAGGCAGCGUGAGUAUAGAGGAUGCAGCAAUGGACUUGUGAUGCUACAGGGAAAUUUUAGAUAAAUAUUAGAGAAUAAUUGGUAGCUAUUAAAAUACGGAAGCAAUGAAGCUAUUAGAAUACAGAAGUUAUGGCACAUGCAUCCAGAGGAGGUAGUAAAAUCACUAUUUAAAGACUCAUUAGGCACCCAUUUAUUUUUAAGACAGGAUUUAAGAAAAAUAAUGAGAUCUAUCUUGUGGUAGUACUGAGAUAUAAGCUAAAUGACCCACAAGAGGUCUCUUCAAACCCAAGAGAUUCUGUUUAAACGUUAGAAUCCAUCUGCCGGAAUGGAAAUUAAAUCCGAUAAGCAUUCUCCUCGGAAAAACAUUGCUUUAUAUGAGUAAUGCUCUAUUUGCUCUUCUCUUUCUUUCUUUUCAUCCCUUCUAAAUUAAAAACUAGCUCAAACCUAUCUCCAAAGUAAUUUUCUUGAUAUUAACCCCUAAGAACAGGAUUCAUAGCUUAAUAUACGAAGAAUAGCAAAUACACUUCAUCUUGAUAGAGGCUUCCUGAACUUGUGUUGAGAAAUAUUCCGACGCCACGUUCAGAGGGCUGUGUCUGAUUAGCAAUGCCUUCCUUGUGCAGGGAGGAGAGAUUAGAGCUGCUUACCAGGUGUUUGCUACUCCUGCUAUAUAACAACCCAAGGAGUAGUCAUAAUUAAAGGCAAUAAAAAGGCGAUCUAAUAUUUUAAUAUUCUGAGGUAUGUCUGAUCUCACAGGUAUCAGUGAGAUUUGGUGCAUAAUAUAAUGGACUCCUUCCAAGAAUACGGAACUAAAGGGCUAGUUAUUGUUCAAAAGAAAAAGAUCUAAUAGAAGAGGAAAAAACAUAAUACUGGUACACUAAGAAAAGAGAAACUUUUUUGCAAAUCCACUAGCCUAAGAUAGAACCCCAAGGAAAAUAUUUAGGUAUGAUUUAAAGGGGAGAAGAAACAGAACUGAUACUGUUAUGGCCACAUACCACACUGCUUGGGCUAAUGGAGGACACAGAUAAUAUUCUCCUAAUAUUGAUUACAAAACUGAUUUUAUAGGAUAGAGCUGAACUGCAAUUGUCAUCCAUUCCCAGAACCAUCUCGUUAACCAUAAAGCUAUGUUGCCUAAAUCUUAGCUGGAACUCCAACCCAUCACUAUGCUUAAUAACUUUUAUUUCUUUUGACAAGCCUACUCAACUGCCUAAUCGCCUUCAGGGUCCAGAAGGUAAAGAAUUCUGAUAAAAUCACUUUGGUUUCCUGAAGAACUCUUUCAGGGGAUUCAACCCCGAAUUUCUCAAGGCUGGAGUCAACACCCACAUCCCCGUUCUACCAUCUUAAGUUGUGGAGACCUGUCCUGUGGUCUGGUGGCUGUGGUGAUGUGGCAGACCCCAGCACAGUGCAUAUAUUCCUCCAGCCUCCUAUCUGCUUUACCUGAGGGCAGGCUGUGAGGGCUGGGAAGUUAAGGCCCUGCAGGAGCAGCCCUCAUACACUGAUGGAUGGAAAUUGCUGGAUAAGAACUCCAGCUCUCAAACCUUUCAAGUGGGAUAACUCUGAGGUGCAUGUCUACAUCGCAGGUAGAAGAAUAUGAAAUCUUUUCAUCUGCCUUCCAACAGAGAGACCCCCUGUUUUUCCAGCCGUUUUAGCUGUCAUUCUCUGAGCACUUUCCAGAGCCAAUAUGAAUUUUUCGAGAGGCUUCAGAAUCAGAAUUGCAAAUGCUUUUCUCAGCAUGGUUAUGCAGGGAUUUUCUACAGCGUUCCCUGUUGUUUCCACUGCCUUUCUUUCUUGACAAGUCCCACUGCUUGGCCAGCCUUAAAAGACUAUCACGAGAUUGUUUGAUGGAGACCACUUUGUACGAGUUACCUAAUCAGCUCAAUUCCCCUUCCUCAUAGCUUGUUCUAAAGAACAAGCUAUGCAACUCCUUUUAGCCAUUCUUUUCCUUCUGCAAGACACCAGACUUCCAAGAUGAAAAUGGAAAACAUUCAGAUGUUUCUAAAUCAUAGAAUCCCAGAAUAGAACUCAAAGGGUCAUUAGAUAUAAUCUUGUCCAACCCCCCCCCCAUUUCAUAAAUGGGGGAACUGAGACUCAGACUAAGCAAGGACUGCAACUUAAAUCUCCCACCUUCCAUGCCAGCCCCCUUUCCAUUUCAUCUGUGUGCAGGAGAGAUAUUAAAACUAUUUAAUGGCUAUAUAUACUCCAGGCACGAGACUAAAGACUUACCAGAGUAUUGGGGUAGCUCCUGAGGGCACCCUGCUGAGAUGAACAAUAGCUCUCUAUUUGCUGGGUCAAGGAGGGGUGUUUGGGGUUCUGGGGGGUGGACAGAGGUGACUGGGGUUGCGGGUAGGCGGGCUUGUGGAGCUCAGAGCAACAUCUCUUCACCAACUAAUAGGAAAGUAUUUCAAUACAUUAACAACUGGGACAGUCAUCCCAGUGUGUCCCAGUUGUCUAGAACUUGUGUCUAUAUAGUUCUUGGUCUAAUUUAGACAACACUUAGGUAUUUUUUUUUUCCUCGCUGGAAUGCUUUGAUGUGUGAAGAGUCAGAAAGAGUCCCUGGCAAAGUGAUAUGCUUUCUUUCAAAAUUUAGGCUUCAUGAAAAUAACU
This 4062-nucleotide long non-coding RNA is filed under the name Equus asinus (donkey). RNAcentral describes it as "lncRNA (ENSEASG00005023641.1)". The record is from RNAcentral. Lineage: Eukaryota; Metazoa; Chordata; Mammalia; Perissodactyla; Equidae.